RNAcentral lists this ribosomal RNA (650 nucleotides) under uncultured marine bacterium. RNAcentral's name for it is "bacterial SSU rRNA". It matches the Rfam family "Bacterial small subunit ribosomal RNA", at positions 77 to 762 of the family's 1533-position model. The record is from RNAcentral.
CGGUCUCUUUCGGGAGAAGCGGCGGACGGGUUAGUAACGCGUGGGAACGUGCCCUUUAGUACGGAAUAGCCAUUGGAAACGAUGAUUAAUACCGUAUACGCCCUAUGGGGGAAAGAUUUAUCGCUAAAGGAUCGGCCCGCGUUAGAUUAGGUUGUUGGUGGGGUAAUGGCCUACCAAGCCUACGAUCUAUAGCUGGUUUGAGAGGAUGAUCAGCAACACUGGGACUGAGACACGGCCCAGACUUCUACGGAAGGCAGCAGUAGGGAAUCUUGGACAAUGGGCGAAAGCCUGAUCCAGCCAUGCCGCGUGAGUGAUGAAGGCCCUAGGGUUGUAAAACUCUUUCGCCAGGGAAGAUAAUGACGGUACCUGGUAAAGAAACCCCGGCUAACUCCGUGCCAGCAGCCGCGGUAAUACGGAGGGGGUUAGCGUUGUUCGGAAUUACUGGGCGUAAAGCGCACGUAGGCGGACUAGUCAGUCAGAGGUGAAAUCCCGAGGCUCAACCUCGGAACUGCCUUUGAUACUGCUAGUCUAGAGUUCGAGAGAGGUGAGUGGAAUUCCGAGUGUAGAGGUGAAAUUCGUAGAUAUUCGGAGGAACACCAGUGGCGAAGGCGGCUCACUGGAUCGAUACUGACGCUGAGGUGCGAAAGCGU